RNAcentral lists this ribosomal RNA (639 nucleotides) under uncultured bacterium. RNAcentral's name for it is "bacterial SSU rRNA". It matches the Rfam family "Bacterial small subunit ribosomal RNA", at positions 232 to 885 of the family's 1533-position model. The record is from RNAcentral.
CGCGGCCUAUCAGCUUGUUGGUGAGGUAAUGGCUCACCAAGGCUUCGACGGGUAGUUGGUCUGAGAGGACGACCAACCACACUGGGACUGAGACACGGCCCAGACUCCUACGGGAGGCAGCAGUAGGGAAUCUUGCUCAAUGGGCGAAAGCCUGAAGCAGCGACGCCGCGUGCGGGAUGAAGGCCCUCGGGUCGUAAACCGCUUUCAGCGGGAACGAAAUUGACGGUACCUGCAGAAGAAGCACCGGCCAACUACGUGCCAGCAGCCGCGGUAAUACGUAGGGUGCAAGCGUUGUCCGGAUUCAUUGGGCGUAAAGAGCUCGUAGGCGGUUCAGUAAGUCGGGUGUGAAAUCUCCGUGCUCAACACGGAGCGGCCACCUGAUACUGCUGUGACUAGAGUCCGGUAGGGGAGUGUGGAAUUCCUGGUGUAGCGGUGAAAUGCGCAGAUAUCAGGAGGAACACCAGUGGCGAAGGCGGCACUCUGGGCCGUGACUGACGCUGAGGAGCGAAAGCGUGGGUAGCAAACAGGAUUAGAUACCCUGGUAGUCCACGCCGUAAACGUUGGGCACUAGGUGUGGGUCUCUAUCGACGGGAUCCGUGCCGUAGCUAACGCAUUAAGUGCCCCGCCUGGGGAGUACGG